ACACCAGAAGUUGGCAGACCCCGACACUCAGCCCGAAAUGAGGCUCAAGGGUGCCCCUGUUAGUGACAAAGCUGCGACUGUUCAUUCUUCGCACUGAUUACUUACAAUAAUUACAAUUUUCAGUGGUUACCAAGUCCUUUAUCAACUUUGGGAAGCGUUCAAGGUUUGCUUCUCAUUUCCAGACACGUGAGCAAGGAGUGACCAGGUCCUCUAAGCCUGGCAGCCGAAGCCGAAUCAAGCCUCGCCUGCGUGACCAAACCGGGUCUUUCUGCUCAGGGACCCCGCAAGGUGGGACUCGCUUUGUUUCUCAUUUUAACAGCCCCUCCCCACGUCUGGGCCCUUCUCUCAGCAGGCUCAGGGCAUGACCAGCCUUCGUAGCAUCCUCCUCCUCCUCGACGUGCUGGGUGCAGUCAGGCGGCAGGAUCACACACUUGCUGUUUCCAUUAGUUCAGUCAUAUGUAAUGCACUACAAAGGUCAAUAUGAUUAUAGGGAAAACAACAGGCAAGGAUUGAAAACUUCCCCAGAGCAGAGCUACCCGGGAGCCAAGGUUUCACCAACCAAAUAAAUCCCAAUGGCUUAUAAUCAGAUUCAGGUUUCACCUAAGUCGAUCUACAAAAGAACUUUUAAGGUUAUUUACACAGGCACAACAUGAUGUAUCAGCAAACACGUAACCUCGUGAUGGCCAAGGAUGAACUUGAGGUUGUGUUUCAGGAGGCGGGCUUCCACCUGAAUCAGGCUUCCAUACAAUGGUGGUUGUUCUUGUACUGGCCUUUUCAGCUGGCCACGCAGACUCUUCCAUGGCUCAAGAGUGGUGGCUUUCAAACACGUUGGAUCAUUCCACAGCAAGAAAGAGAGUGUAUAUUCCGGCCCAGACCAUACUUACACAUAUAAAACCACCUAAAAUAAAAGCUUAAUGAACUGGGGCACCUGGGUGGCUCUGUCGGUUGGGCAUCUGCCUUCCUCUCGGGUCAUGACCUCAGGCCCGGGGUCCCAGGGUCCUGGGAUCGAGCCCCAUAUCGGGCUCCCUGCUCAUUAGGGGAGCCUGCUUCUCCCUCUGCCUCUGCCUCUGCUUGUGCUGUCUCACUCACUCUCAAGUAAAUAAAUAAAAUAUUUUAAAAAAACGCUUAAUGAACCAACACGUAUUUCCCAUUUUGAGUAUGAUAUGCAUUCACUCUUUUGCACUUUAUGAAAUUACCUUUUUCUUUACAUACG
This 1213-nucleotide long non-coding RNA is filed under the name Canis lupus familiaris (dog). Its description in RNAcentral is "lncRNA (ENSCAFG00040014596.1)". Lineage: Eukaryota; Metazoa; Chordata; Mammalia; Carnivora; Canidae. The record is from RNAcentral.